RNAcentral lists this long non-coding RNA (1370 nucleotides) under Homo sapiens (human). Its description in RNAcentral is "non-protein coding MEF2C-AS1:30". The record is from RNAcentral. Lineage: Eukaryota; Metazoa; Chordata; Mammalia; Primates; Hominidae.
AGCGGCCGGUCGGAUUAAAAGUAACCAGACUCGUCCAGAAAACUGCGUCCAGGAAGGAAGUGACAGAAGACGAAUGGGAAAAGGAGAACAGCUCACAGCGUUUGAAACAUCGCGGCACCACUUUCAGAUAAAAACAUAGACCUGAAUGGCAUCAUCCAGUAUCCAAGGAAACCAUCGAGAAGAUCAGGAUUGUCAAUGCUGUCAUUGCUUUUACUGGAAUCCCCAGCACGAAUUGAAGAUCUCACAUGAGAUGGCAAAGAGGUCAAGACAAAAAUUCUGCAUUUGGGAAAAGAAUAACACAUGGACUUCCUCCUACAGGAUUAUAGGACUGUGUAUGUCCUACACACACAUUAUAUGUCCUACACGCACAGUGAUGAGGAGUGACAAAAUGAAGACUCCAGAAUCCUCUUUAUCAGAUCCUGAAUGUGCACUUUCUGAAGUGAAGUCCACUAUGUGCUGGGCACACAGAGAAUAGAGCAUGAAACAAAAGCAACAUGACCCUGCCCUCACCAAGACUACAGGGAGUGAUGGAGCAUACAACUUUGUUUCAGAAUGCAAUUCAGAUCUUCCCUUUCGCUUGGCUUCUUAAAACUUCUUUUGAGGAUGGUAAAAUUUCGUGUUAUAUUAAAUUUCAUCCUGUAACUGAUACUCUGGGAUGAUGUUGGCCAAUAACUAGCAAGACUUUAAAUAAUCAACUAGUUUAGGCAUUGCUUAGCACGCUCCAGCUGACUUCACAAGUAAAACCAUGUGAAGAAAGAAGGUUUUCAGGUAACACAGAUGGAGGUGAUGAUCUUUCUCAUUUUGUGGAAAAUAUUAAUUUCUCAUUUUUUAUUCACUGACAAUUAGUAAAAUUCCUUACUCUACCUAAUAUGUAGACUUCUGAACUAUGUAAGUAAAACUUUAUAGUAACUGAAAAGUUUGGGUAUUGUAUUUUCUUGGAGAAAAUGUUAGCUUCCCUCUGUUACUUUUAAAUGUUAAACUUUUAAUGAAUUUCAUCAAUGUAUAAUAAUGGGCAUAAUGAUCCACUCUGAAAUAUUUACUGUCAUUUUGAAUUUAUUCUUGAGUCAUCACAAACGUGUACAUCUCUUAUACCUUCAUGGAUGUUAUUGGUGAGAUGAUCUCUUGUUGUCAACACCUUGAGGAUAGGGACUUAUUCAGGCUCGCCUCUAGCAAGUGCUAAGUGCCUGGGAACACAUAAUAAAUAUUUCAUGAUAGGAGGAUGUUAGAAUAAGAGGAAAAACCAGAUUCUUACCCAAAUAAAUAAUAUUUAUUAUAUUCUUAUUUGUAUAUCAUUGUAACUGUAAAAAAAAGUUGCCUAGGGAUUUGUUUUAUUUGUACAAAUACUUGUUUUUUGUAUGUAAGAGUGCCAA